GACGAAGGUGGCGAGCGUUGUUCGGAAUCACUGGGCAUAAAGCGCACGUAGGCGGCGGCGUAAGUUGGAUGUGAAAUCCCCCGGCCCAACCGGGGAACUGCGUCCAGUACUGCGUUGCUUGAGGAUCCAAGGGGUGCAUGGAAUUCCCGGUGGAGCGGUGAAAUGCGUUGAUAUCGGGAGGAACUCCGGCGGCGAAAGCGGUGCACUGGUGGAUUACUGACGCUGAGGUGCGAAAGCCAGGGGAGCAAACGGG
RNAcentral lists this ribosomal RNA (253 nucleotides) under uncultured bacterium. RNAcentral describes it as "partial 16S ribosomal RNA". It matches the Rfam family "Bacterial small subunit ribosomal RNA", at positions 524 to 776 of the family's 1533-position model. The record is from RNAcentral.